Cladorrhinum sp. PSN332 is the source of this 120-nucleotide non-coding RNA. Lineage: Eukaryota; Fungi; Ascomycota; Sordariomycetes; Sordariales; Podosporaceae. The record is from the annotation of a GenBank genome assembly.
GGCUCAAUGGUCUAGUGGUAUGAUUCGUGCUUCGGGGUUUAUCACAAACUCCAACUCCUGGAAACAGUGAGUUUAUAUAAAGAAUGUGCGAGGUCUCGGGUUCGAUCCCCGAUUGAGCCC